Molecule: ribosomal RNA, 445 nt
Filed under: uncultured bacterium
Lineage: Bacteria
Description: bacterial SSU rRNA
Rfam family: Bacterial small subunit ribosomal RNA
Source: RNAcentral
CCCAGACUCCUACGGGAGGCAGCAGUGGGGAAUAUUGCACAAUGGGGGGAACCCUGAUGCAGCGACGCCGCGUGGGUGAAGGAGUACUUCGGUACGUAAAGCCCUAUCAGCAGGAAAGAAAAUGACGGUACCUGACUAAGAAGCCCCGGCUAACUACGUGCCAGCAGCCGCGGUAAUACGUAGGGGGCAAGCGUUAUCCGGAUUUACUGGGUGUAAAGGGAGCGUAGACGGCAGUGCAAGUCCGGAGUGAAAGCCCGGGGCUCAACCCUGGGGCUGCUCUGGAAACUGUAAAGCUGGAGUGCGGGAGGGGCAGGCGGAAUUCCUGGUGUAGCGGUGAAAUGCGUAGAUAUCAGGAGGAACACCGGCGGCGAAGGCGGCCUGCUGGACCGUAACUGACGUUGAGGCUCGAAAGCGUGGGGAGCAAACAGGAUUAGAUACCCUUGUA